GACGAACGCUGGCGGCGUGCUUAACACAUGCAAGUCGAACGGAAAGGCCCCUUUGGGGGUACUCGAGUGGCGAACGGGUGAGUAACACGUGAGUAACCUGCCCUUGACUUCGGGAUAACUUCAGGAAACUGGGGCUAAUACCGGAUAGGAAUCCUUGCUGCAUGGUGGGGGUUGGAAAGCUUCGGCGGUUUUGGAUGGACUCGCGGCUUAUCAGCUUGUUGGUGGGGUAGUGGCUUACCAAGGCUUUGACGGGUAGCCGGCCUGAGAGGGCGACCGGCCACAUUGGGACUGAGAUACGGCCCAGACUCCUACGGGAGGCAGCAGGGGGGAAUAUUGCACAAGGGGCGGAAGCCUGAUGCAGCAACGCCGCGGGCGGGAUGACGGCCUUCGGGUUGUAAACCGCGUUCAGCAGGGGCGAAGCUUGUGGUGACGGUACCUGCAGAAGAAGCACCGGCUAACUACGUG
Molecule: ribosomal RNA, 465 nt
Filed under: uncultured bacterium
Lineage: Bacteria
Description: partial 16S ribosomal RNA
Rfam family: Bacterial small subunit ribosomal RNA
Source: RNAcentral